This 409-nucleotide unclassified non-coding RNA is filed under the name Hevea brasiliensis (rubber tree). The record is from RNAcentral. Lineage: Eukaryota; Viridiplantae; Streptophyta; Magnoliopsida; Malpighiales; Euphorbiaceae.
AAAGCCGCAUCCUCCGCUGUCUCGAAUGUGCCUAACCAAACCCGAGCCCCUUUUUUUGCCGGGUCUCGAAUCUCCGCUGCGAAUUUACCCCACGGCCGCCGCCUGACUCCCCUGUAAUGCUUCCCCUUCGCAGGGGCCGCUGCGGGAGUAGUAGUAACAGCAGCAUCAGCAUCUUGAGACUCAAUCGUCUCAGGAGGCAGUACAGUGGUCGCCGGAGUAGCAACACUCUCCUGCAACAACGCGAAAUUCUCCUGGGGUUCCAACUUCACCGGAGGGAAAUCCGGUUGCAGCUCAUUCUUGAGGCAAGGGACCCAGCCAACAGUGAGAGCGUCGCGGAGGACGCCGUAAAGCACCAUAUCUUCAGAAUCAUCGACUUUGAGUGGCAAAUCGCCCCAAGUUUCCGUUAAAC